This is a non-coding RNA of Manis javanica (Malayan pangolin), 392 nucleotides long. The record is from RefSeq and is a predicted model, not a curated record. NCBI's taxonomy places the organism in Eukaryota, Metazoa, Chordata, Mammalia, Pholidota, Manidae.
GGGCCCUCUGGUCUGUGGCGGGGAUGGUCUCACCCUGCUCCUUCCCUUCCGGAGGGUGUGUGCUGAGCAGCCCUUGCUGGCCCGUCUGAAAUCACAGCUCCACUCUGUGUUAAGACUCAAAACCAAGAUCACUGUGGAUCUAUGCCCAGGCUGCGUGUUCGGAAGCACGGCUGCUGUGUAAGAAUUUCAAGGGGCCUUCCUAAUUCAGCAAGAAGCCAUUCAAGCUGCUCCAGCAAAAGGCUGUGCACCAACUUUCACACAGUCAUCGUGGGCGCUGCGGCAUUUUGAGAUGCGCAGGACCUUGCACCCUUUGGGGAAAUCCGUGGGUGGGGGACACAGAAAAAGGCUGGGAACAAGGUGCCCUAAGACAGCCUGAGCCGCUGCUUCCUCCC